RNAcentral lists this ribosomal RNA (827 nucleotides) under uncultured Staphylococcus sp. RNAcentral describes it as "bacterial SSU rRNA". It matches the Rfam family "Bacterial small subunit ribosomal RNA", at positions 84 to 891 of the family's 1533-position model. The record is from RNAcentral. Lineage: Bacteria; Bacillati; Bacillota; Bacilli; Caryophanales; Staphylococcaceae.
CUUUGACGUUAGCGGCGGACGGGUGAGUAACACGUGGGUAACCUACCUAUAAGACUGGGAUAACUUCCCGGGAAACCGGAGCUAAUACUGGGAUAAUAUUUCGAACCGCAUGGUUCGAUAGUGAAAGAUGGUUUUGCUAUCACUUAUAGAUGGACCCGCGCCGUAUUAGCUAGUUGGUAAGGUAACGGCUUACCAAGGCGACGAUACGUAGCCGACCUGAGAGGGUGAUCGGCCACACUGGAACUGAGACACGGUCCAGACUCCUACGGGAGGCAGCAGUAGGGAAUCUUCCGCAAUGGGCGAAAGCCUGACGGAGCAACGCCGCGUGAGUGAUGAAGGUCUUCGGAUCGUAAAACUCUGUUAUUAGGGAAGAACAUACGUGUAAGUAACUAUGCACGUCUUGACGGUACCUAAUCAGAAAGCCACGGCUAACUACGUGCCAGCAGCCGCGGUAAUACGUAGGUGGCAAGCGUUAUCCGGAAUUAUUGGGCGUAAAGCGCGCGUAGGCGGUUUUUUAAGUCUGAUGUGAAAGCCCACGGCUCAACCGUGGAGGGUCAUUGGAAACUGGAAAACUUGAGUGCAGAAGAGGAAAGUGGAAUUCCAUGUGUAGCGGUGAAAUGCGCAGAGAUAUGGAGGGAACACCAGUGGCGAAGGCGACUUUCUGGUCUGUAACUGACGCUGAUGUGCGAAAGCGUGGGGAUCAAACAGGAUUAGAUACCCUGGUAGUCCACGCCGUAAACGAUGAGUGCUAAGUGUUAGGGGGUUUCCGCCCCUUAGUGCUGCAGCUUACGCAUUAUAGCACUCCGUCCUGGGGAGUACGAUCCCAA